AUGACCUAGUGCCUAGAUUUGCUCUUCUCCAAGACCUUAACGGUAAGCUUUUUUUGUCUUCUCUCCUUAGGCUUGGAUCACUAAGGUCUGUUCCCAAUACUAGAAGACUAUUUGACAUCAUAAUAAAACACUGCAGAUAUGAUGCUGAGUGAAAAAGAGUAGAAAUGUGAAGACUUGUUUGUGCAGAAACCGAGUUCUUAAAGAGAGGAGAUACUUUAUGAGGGCAUGGAAAUCUAAGGUCUUUCCAGAAUACCACAAGACAACUUGAUAUCAUAAUAAAACACCGUAGAUAUGAUGCUGAGUGAGUAAGAGUAGAAAUGGGAAGACCUGGUUGUGCAGAAACUAAGUUCUUAAAAGGAGGAGAUGCUUAAUGAGGGCAUGGAUCCUUAAGGUCUGUUCCCAAUACAACAAGACUAUCUGUUAUCGUAAUAAAACACUGCUGAUAGGAUGCUGAAUGAAAAACAGUAGAAAUGGGGAGAUUUGGUUGUGCAGAAACUGAGUUC
RNAcentral lists this long non-coding RNA (503 nucleotides) under Piliocolobus tephrosceles (Ugandan red Colobus). RNAcentral's name for it is "lncRNA (ENSPTEG00000033053.1)". Lineage: Eukaryota; Metazoa; Chordata; Mammalia; Primates; Cercopithecidae. The record is from RNAcentral.